Molecule: ribosomal RNA, 207 nt
Filed under: uncultured bacterium
Lineage: Bacteria
Description: partial 16S ribosomal RNA
Rfam family: Bacterial small subunit ribosomal RNA
Source: RNAcentral
CGCGUAGGCGGGUUUGUAAGUCAGAGGUGAAAUCCUACAGCUUAACUGUAGAACUGCCUUUGAAACUACAAAUCUUGAGUUUGGAAGAGAGAGACGGAAUUCCAGGUGUAGUGGUGAGAUACGUAGAUAUCUGGAAGAACACCAGUGGCGAAGGCGGUCUCUUGGUCCAUAACUGACGCUGAGGCGCGAAAGCGUGGGGAGCAAACA